RNAcentral lists this ribosomal RNA (497 nucleotides) under uncultured bacterium. Its description in RNAcentral is "partial 16S ribosomal RNA". It matches the Rfam family "Bacterial small subunit ribosomal RNA", at positions 28 to 507 of the family's 1533-position model. The record is from RNAcentral.
GAUGAACGCUGGCGGCGUGCCUAAUACAUGCAAGUCGAGCGAACAGACGAGGAGCUUGCUCCUCUGACGUUAGCGGCGGACGGGUGAGUAACACGUGGAUAACCUACCUAUAAGACUGGGAUAACUUCGGGAAACCGUAGCUAAUACCGGAUAAUAUAUUGAACCGCAUGGUUCAAUAGUGAAAGACGGUUUUGCUGUCACUUAUAGAUGGAUCCGCGCCGCAUUAGCUAGUUGGUAAGGUAACGGCUUACCAAGGCAACGAUGCGUAGCCGACCUGAGAGGGUGAUCGGCCACACUGGAACUGAGACACGGUCCAGACUCCUACGGGAGGAAGCAGUAGGGAAUCUUCGGCAAAGGGCGAAAGCCUGACGGAGCAACGCCGCGUGAGUGAUGAAGGUCUUCGGAUCGUAAAACUCUGUUAUUAGGGAAGAACAAAUGUGUAAGUAACUAUGCACGUCUUGACGGUACCUAAUCAGAAAGCCACGGCUAACUACGUG